This 1619-nucleotide ribosomal RNA is filed under the name TM7 phylum sp. oral taxon 351. RNAcentral's name for it is "partial 23S ribosomal RNA". It matches the Rfam family "Bacterial large subunit ribosomal RNA", at positions 1 to 1447 of the family's 2925-position model. The record is from RNAcentral. Lineage: Bacteria; Candidatus Saccharimonadota.
AAAAGGUAAAUAAGGGCACUAAUAGUGGAUGCCUUGACAAUCAAUACCGACGAAGGACGUAGAACUCUGCGAUAAGUCUUGGGGAGCUGAGAGCAAGCUUUGAUCCAGGAAUCUCCGAAUGGGGCAACCUAAUACGAGUCAUGUCGUAUUGCAAUUACUUGAACACAUAGAGUAAUUAGACGGGAACCAGCCGAACUGAAUCAUCUUAGUAGGUUGAGGAAAAGAGAAUAAACAAUGAUUCCGAAAGUAGUGGCGAGCGAAAUUGGAACAGCCCAAACCUUAACAUAGCCAUACGGUUUAACGGCCAGAGUUAUGAAAGGGGUUGUGAAAUUAGAUAAUUUUUAUGUAUAGCGGUCGACCAACUGUUGUCUACUCACUGUUGAGGAGUAUAUGCCUGGCCAAGCGGCCUUGAGCGCCUCCGAAAUGGUGAGUAGACAACAAUCCGACGGUUAUACAUAAAAACCAACAUCGUUAAAUGAGUGGAUAAUGAUAAAAUCCUUUAGAUCAUAGCAGAAGUGUUUGAAUGGCACACCAUAGAAGGUGAGAGUCCUGUACGCGAAAUGGUCUUAGGCAUUAUAUAUCUUUUUUCAAGUAGGACGGGGCACGAGAAACCCUGUUUGAAUCCGGCAGGACCACCUGCCAAGGCUAAAUAUAUUGAUUGAUCGAUAGCGAACUAGUACAGUGAUGGAAAGGUGAAAAGAACCCCGGGAGGGGAGUGAAAUAGAACCUGAAACUUAGUGCCUACAAGGUGUCGGAGCAGCUUCGGCUGUGACGGCGUGCUUUUUGUAGAACGAUCCAGCGAGUUAAUGUUGUCGGCAAGGCUAAGUCAAAUGAUGGAGCCACAGUGAAAGCGAGCCUUAACAGGGCGAUUAGUCGGCAGUAUUAGACCCGAAACCGGGUGACCUAACCAUGAGCAGGUUGAAGCUGCGGUAACACGCAGUGGAGGACCGAACCAGGGUACGCAGUAAAGUACUUGGAUGACUUGUGGUUAGCGGUGAAAUGCCAAUCGAACUCGGAGAUAGCUGGUUCUCCUCGAAAUAGCUUUAGGGCUAGCGUUGUGUUAGUAAUCAUCAGGGGUAGAGCUCUGAAAAGGUUUGGGGCCGGCAACGGUACCCACCCUUAUCAAACUACGAAUACUGGUGGUGUAACCACAGCAGUCAGAACGGCGGGGCUAAGCUCGUCGCUCAAAAGGGAAACAGCCCAGAUCAUCGUCUAAGGUCCCCAAUUAACACUAAGUGGGAAACAAAGUGAAAUUUCUUAAACAGCUAGGAUGUUGGCUUAGAAGCAGCCAUUCAUUUAAAGAGUGCGUAACAGCUCACUAGUCAAGAGAUUUUGCGUGGAAAAUGUAACGGGGCUAAAGUGUUAAACCGAAGACAUGGACUUCUGCUUUUGCAGGAGUGGUAGAGGAGCGUUGAUAUCGCAGCGAAGUCAGACUGGAAAGUCUGGUGGAGCGUUAUCAAGUGAGAAUGCUGGAAUCAGUAACCUUAAGGCAGGUGAGAAUCCUGCCGGUCGUAAGAGCAAGGUUUCCAGGGCUACAGUAAUUGUCCCUGGGUUAGUCGGUCCUAAGCCGAGGCGUAUCAGCGUAGGCGAUGGACAACAGGUUAAUAUUCCUGUACAGG